GUGGGGAAUCUUGCGCAAUGGGCGAAAGCCUGACGCAGCCAUGCCGCGUGAAUGAUGAAGGUCUUAGGAUUGUAAAAUUCUUUCACCGGGGACGAUAAUGACGGUACCCGGAGAAGAAGCUCCGGCUAACUUCGUGCCAGCAGCCGCGGUAAUACGAAGGGGGCUAGCGUUGCUCGGAAUUACUGGGCGUAAAGGGCGCGUAGGCGGACAGCUUAGUCAGAGGUGAAAGCCCAGGGCUCAACCUUGGAAUUGCCUUUGAUACUGGCUGUCUUGAGUUUGGGAGAGGUGAGUGGAACUCCGAGUGUAGAGGUGAAAUUCGUAGAUAUUCGGAAGAACACCAGUGGCGAAGGCGACUCACUGGCCCAAUACUGACGCUGAGGCGCGAAAGCGUGGGAGCAAACAGGAUUAGAUACCCGUGUAGUCC
Molecule: ribosomal RNA, 424 nt
Filed under: uncultured bacterium
Lineage: Bacteria
Description: partial 16S ribosomal RNA
Rfam family: Bacterial small subunit ribosomal RNA
Source: RNAcentral